GUUGCUAGAUCAGAGAAGUAGUAUUCUGAGGAAUGGUUUCUUUUCAUAUAAUAAUCUAGUGUCGGCCUAUCUUUGCUUCCGAAUGAUGCAGGACGAGAAGAGAUAUGGGAUAAAUGGUAGAAAAUUAAAGAGAAGUGGGCGAACAAGAGAAGAAUAAGAUAAACCAGAGAUUUCUAUCAUAGGGUUAUGUCAUUUUUUUUGUGUGCAAGUUUCUGAAACAAAAUAAACAAAGUUUUAUUUAUAGAGUAGGGGGUCCUAAACAAGAUUUUCUAUUUUGUUCCAAUUACGUGCAGCUAUUGUAGUAGCUCCUAAAUCCUAGCUGCAUAUUAAAGUGACUUUUCUAUGUGCGGUGAAUCUCUAAAAUCCAAUGAAAUCAAGAAGUCUGCUUUGGUAGGGUAAUUCCAGAAUAACUUGGUUAUUUUGAUCCCUACUUAUCACAUUUU
Molecule: long non-coding RNA, 443 nt
Filed under: Nicotiana benthamiana
Lineage: Eukaryota; Viridiplantae; Streptophyta; Magnoliopsida; Solanales; Solanaceae
Description: long non-coding RNA (NBEN_LNC016592)
Source: RNAcentral